This 497-nucleotide ribosomal RNA is filed under the name uncultured bacterium. RNAcentral's name for it is "partial 16S ribosomal RNA". It matches the Rfam family "Bacterial small subunit ribosomal RNA", at positions 28 to 507 of the family's 1533-position model. The record is from RNAcentral.
GACGAACGCUGGCGGCGUGCCUAAUACAUGCAAGUUGAGCGCUGAAGGUUGGUACUUGUACCGACUGGAUGAGCAGCGAACGGGUGAGUAACGCGUGGGUAAUCUGCCUUUGAGCGGGGGACAACAUUUGGAAACGAAUGCUAAUACCGCAUAAAAACUUUAAACACAAGUUUUAAGUUUGAAAGAUGCAAUUGCAUCACUCAAAGAUGAUCCCGCGUUGUAUUAGCUAGUUGGUGAGGUAAAGGCUCACCAAGGCGAUGAUACAUAGCCGACCUGAGAGGGUGAGCGGCCACAUUGGGACUGAGACACGGCCCAAACUCCUACGGGAGGCAGCAGUAGGGAAUCUUCGGAAAUGGACGAAAGUCUGACCGAGCAACGCCGCGUGAGUGAAGAAGGUUUUAGGAUCGUAAAACUCUGUUGGUAGAGAAGAACGUUGGUGAGAGUGGAAAGCUCAUCAAGUGACGGUAACUACCCAGAAAGGGACGGCUAACUACGUG